UCGACUACUGUUGAGUCAUCAUCAGGAAUUAUGAAAGCUACUAAAAUUUUACAAUAACUUGUAAAAUUUUAGUAGCUUUCAUAAUUCCUGAUGAUGACUCAACAGUAGUCGA
Non-coding RNA from Paramuricea clavata, 112 nucleotides. Lineage: Eukaryota; Metazoa; Cnidaria; Anthozoa; Malacalcyonacea; Plexauridae. The record is from the annotation of a GenBank genome assembly.